UCCUACGGGAGGCUGCAGUCGAGAAUCUUCGGCAAUGGGCGCAAGCCUGACCGAGCGACGCCGCGUGGAGGACGAAGGCCUUCGGGUUGUAAACUCCUGUCGAGGGGGAGAAAGGUCCGCAAGGGCUUGAUCGAUCCCUGGAGGAAGCACGGGCUAAGUUCGUGCCAGCAGCCGCGGUAAGACGAACCGUGCGAACGUUAUUCGGCAUCACUGGGCUUAAAGCGCGUGUAGGCGGAUCGGAACGUCGGAGCCUGAAAGCCCCCGGCUGAACCGGGGAACGCGGCCCGAAACGACCGGUCUCGAGGGGUGGAGGGGGGACUGGAACUUCCGGUGGAGCGGUGAAAUGCGUUGAGAUCGGAAGGAACGCCCGUGGCGAAAGCGAGUCCCUGGACGCCUGCUGACGCUGAGACGCGAAAGCCAGGGGAGCGAACGGGAUUAGAUACCCCGGUAGUCAGU
This 456-nucleotide ribosomal RNA is filed under the name uncultured Isosphaeraceae bacterium. RNAcentral's name for it is "bacterial SSU rRNA". It matches the Rfam family "Bacterial small subunit ribosomal RNA", at positions 337 to 798 of the family's 1533-position model. Lineage: Bacteria; Pseudomonadati; Planctomycetota; Planctomycetia; Isosphaerales; Isosphaeraceae. The record is from RNAcentral.